UUUUUUUUCUUUGUCAGGUGAUUUGUGUUCCAGAAAAGGGUAAGGAGUGUGGGCGACCGAUCCAGUGGGUUUUUUAUUUUGGUUAGUUAUAUUAGAACCAGGUCAGAUUUUCCAGCCCGACCCAUUUUUUUGGGCAAACAAACAUACAAUUGUCGUAGGUUUAUGGACACACAGCUGUCAAUAUUUGAUUUGUCUAGAAAUUUGAAUGUUUUCCAAUUGUAAAUCAGUCAAAUGCUAAAUAGAUAGUCCCUUCUUUUAAACCAACAAAUUUGCAUCACGCGCGGUUGUGCCCAAACACAAAAUACAUCAGCAAACUUCACACGUGCUUCGCCCUGCCUCUGCCUUCUUCCUCCCAACGAAGCACCGUCCAUUGCGUCGGCCUAUCCCCACCCACGACGACCCCUUGCCGUGGAUCCGCACAUGGCAUCCCCACCCACGACGACCCCUUCCAGUGGAUCUGCGCAUGGAGCAAUGCCAGCGUCGGGCAAGGCAGAUGCGUUGGUGCGGGAACGGAACCCCGAGCAAGAGAGGUCGCACAGCUGCGUGCCGAGGCAGGAGGCUGAGGAGCGGAUGUGUAGACAGCUCAGGGGGACAAGUGAUUAGGAUGAGAGUAUAGGACAAAAAAAUACACAUGAUACAUAAAUAGGGAAAUCUCAAAUUCAUUGUGUAGAUCGGGUACGGGUAUGUGAUUGUGCCUGAAUGAAGCCUUCACACGUACCCAAACCUGACGGGUGUCAUCCCUACUUCCAUGUCAUGGCUAAGAACAGAACAAAUCACUUCAACCCUCCUUUGGUUUGUAGGAUUGUAUGAAUUCUAUAGCAUAGAAUUUUCGAAGGAAACAUUCCUUUGGAGCCAUUUGGUUUAUACGAACGGAUUCUUGUGCCUAUGUAGUAGGAACCAAUCCUUCACAUUUCAAAAUGAAAAAAGCAUUAGCCCAAACUCAAUUAAAAAAUUCCUAUGAUAUGCAUUAAACGACAUUUUUUUUCCUUUUUUAUAGGAAUCAAGAUACAUGUCAUCUCAUUUGACAUGAUUUUCUUAUUCUUGUUCAUAUCUCUUUCGCGUGAUGCACAUAUAUCUGACUUCAAUACACAGGAAAUAUGAAUAAAAUGCCUUCCGCAUGAUGUGCAUAUAUCUGACUUCAAUACACUGGAAAUGCUUCUGGUGGUUCAGUUAAAACCAUACAUCGAUGUAUCAAUGGCAUAUUAUCUGACUUUACACUGUUCUUGUUCUUUUAGUUAUAAGGUGUAUCAGAAUGACUUGCAAUCACAGACGAAGCAUAGAGAUUUGUUGUUCAAAACUUCAAAUGUCUUGCAUGCUUGAUCAAGUUUGCAAUGGUUUCAAAGUAUUCAUGCCCAAUAUAGGGCAUCUGCUGGAGCAAAAGAGUUUCAGGUGAUGAAAAAUAUUCUUUCUUGUGAUGUAAAUCUACUUUUUGUGCGCCCAAUUACCAUCACAAACACAGUAGGUACAUAAAUUUGCACGCACAGAAUAUGUAAAACUAGGUUCCGUGAACCAAAAUGUUUAAAGAAACUCUGCAUAAGCAUCUCUGAAACAUCCAACAGAACAAACACGAUAUGAUAUUUAAGGUAUCUCAGACGCGGCACACAGAUAUUGCACAGAAAACAGUUAUGAACUUCAGAUGCUCCAAAAUCAGGCUAACCCUUCAUAAUACCAGAAAGCUAAAGCUUCAUGUCAGACCUUCACUUCUUGGCCUUGGCCUUCUUUG
This 1723-nucleotide long non-coding RNA is filed under the name Triticum aestivum (bread wheat). Its description in RNAcentral is "long non-coding RNA (TAES_LNC021892)". The record is from RNAcentral. Lineage: Eukaryota; Viridiplantae; Streptophyta; Magnoliopsida; Poales; Poaceae.